This 1323-nucleotide ribosomal RNA is filed under the name Triticum aestivum (bread wheat). RNAcentral describes it as "partial small subunit ribosomal RNA". Lineage: Eukaryota; Viridiplantae; Streptophyta; Magnoliopsida; Poales; Poaceae. The record is from RNAcentral.
AUGGGUGCUACUAGUAGUAGUAAAAGAUUGCAGCGAAUUGAUCUUCUUUAUGCGUUUCGUGGGGGCAUGCCGGGAGGAGGAGGAGGAGGAGGAGGGGGAGCGGCGGCGGUGGUGGUGGACGGCAAGGACGGGUACGCGGCGCCGGCGAGGGCGGCGCCGAGGAGCUUCCCGGCGAAGCUCCUCAGGCCGGUGCUCCUCUCCGCGGUGCUCGCCACGGGCUUCCUCGCCGCGGCCCUGCUCAUGUUCUUCGGCGGCGCCUCCUCCUACUACCGCCUCCCGAGGCUCGCCGUGCCGGACGCCCUGCUCCCGGCGCCGACCUGCGACCAGGAGGACGGGGACCAGCAGGGCGGGGCGGCGCAGCGGUGGUGGGCGCGGCCGCCGGCGAGGAGCGCGUGGCACAACAUGAGCGAGGAGGAGCUGCUGUGGGCGGCGUCGUUCGAGCCCCGCGCGCAUCAACGGCGGCCGCCCGGCCGGCGGGGGAGGACGCCCAAGGUGGCCUUCUUGUUCCUCACCCGCGGCCCGCUGCCGCUGGCGCCGCUCUGGGAGCGCUUCUUCAACAGCACCGGCACCAAAGGCAGGGAGCUCUUCUCCGUGUACGUGCACACCACGCCGGGCUACCGCCUCGACUUCCCGCCGUCGUCGCCGUUCCACCGCCGGCAGGUGCCCAGCAAGCCGACGCGGUGGGGCAACGUGAAUGUCGUGGACGCGGAGCGGCGGCUGCUGGCGAACGCGCUCCUCGACUUCAGCAACGAGCGCUUCGUGCUCGUCUCCGAGUCCUGCAUCCCGCUCUACCCGCUCCCGGUGGUGCAUGCCUACCUGACCCGCUCUCGGCACAGCUUCGUCGGCGCCUUCGACGACCCGAGCCCGCACGGCCGGGGCCGGUACCGCGCCGGGCUGGCCCCGGACGUGACUCUCUCCCAGUGGCGCAAGGGCGCGCAGUGGUUCGAGAUGGACCGGCGCCUCGCCGUGUUCGUGAUCGCCGACGAGCGGUACUACCCGCGGUUCCGGACCGAGUGUCGGGCGCCGUGCUACGUGGACGAGCACUACCUUCCCACCGUGCUCUCCAUUGAGGCGCCGACGCAAAUCGCCAACCGGACCGUCACCUUGGUCGACUGGUCCCGCGGCGGCGCGCACCCGGCCACCUUCGGCGCCGCCGACGUGACCGAGGACUUCCUGGGGAUGCUGGUGGGGAAGAAGGGGAAUGCUGAGCGGUGCAUGUACAACGGGCAGCCGGUCGAGGUGUGCUUCCUCUUUGCGAGGAAGUUCGCCCCCGCCGCGUUGCCGCAGCUGCUCAGCCUUUCCUCCAAGAUCCUUGGGUACUAG